This 385-nucleotide ribosomal RNA is filed under the name uncultured bacterium. RNAcentral describes it as "bacterial SSU rRNA". It matches the Rfam family "Bacterial small subunit ribosomal RNA", at positions 29 to 417 of the family's 1533-position model. The record is from RNAcentral.
AUUGAACGCUGGCGGCAUGCCUUACACAUGCAAGUCGAGCGCGAAAGGGGGCAACCCCGAGUAGAGCGGCGGACGGGUGAGUAACGCAUCGGAACGUGCCCAGUAGUGGGGGACAACCUCGAGAAAUCGAGGCUAAUACCGCAUACGACCCACGGGUGAAAGCGGGGGACCGCAAGGCCUCGCGCUAUUGGAGCGGCCGAUGUCCGAUUAGCUAGUUGGCGGGGUAANAGCCCACCAAAGGCGACGAUCGGUAGCUGGUCUGAGAGGACGACCAGCCACACUGGGACUGAGACACGGCCCAGACUCCUACGGGAGGCAGCAGUGGGGAAUUUUGGACAAUGGGGGCAACCCUGAUCCAGCCAUGCCGCGUGCGGGAAGAAGGCCU